RNAcentral lists this ribosomal RNA (305 nucleotides) under uncultured bacterium. Its description in RNAcentral is "bacterial SSU rRNA". It matches the Rfam family "Bacterial small subunit ribosomal RNA", at positions 331 to 655 of the family's 1533-position model. The record is from RNAcentral.
UCGAGCCUACGGGAGGCAGCAGUGGGGGAUAUUGCACAAUGGGGGAAACCCUGAUGCAGCGACGCCGCGUGAGCGAUGAAGUAUUUCGGUAUGUAAAGCUCUACCAGCAGGGAAGAAAAUGACGGUACCUGACUAAGAGGCCCCGGCUAACUACGUGCCAGCAGCCGCGGUAAUACGUAGGGGGCAAGCGUUAUCCGGAUUUACUGGGUGUAAAGGGAGCGUAGGCGGUAAUGCAAGUCAGAAGUGAAAGCCCGGGGCUCAACUCCGGGACUGCUUUUGAAACUGUGUUGCUAGAUUGCAGGAGG